GUGAGGAAUCUUCCACAAUGGGCGAAAGCCUGAUGGAGCAACGCCGCGUGAAGGAUGAAGGUCUUCGGAUUGUAAACUUCUUUUAUGAGUGAAGAAUAUGACGGUAACUCAUGAAUAAGCACCGGCUAACUACGUGCCAGCAGCCGCGGUCAUACGUAGGGUGCAAGCAUUAUCCGGAGUGACUGGGCGUAAAGAGUUGCGUAGGCGGUUAUGUAAGCGAAUAGUGAAACCUGGUGGCUCAACCACACAGACUAUUAUUCGAACUGCAUAACUCGAGAAUGGUAGAGGUAACUGGAAUUUCUUGUGUAGGAGUGAAAUCCGUAGAUAUAAGAAGGAACACCAAUGGCGUAGGCAGGUUACUGGGCCAUUUCUGACACUAAGGCACGAAAGCGUGGGGAGCGAACCGGAUUAGAAACCCGGGUAGUCC
Molecule: ribosomal RNA, 427 nt
Filed under: uncultured bacterium
Lineage: Bacteria
Description: partial 16S ribosomal RNA
Rfam family: Bacterial small subunit ribosomal RNA
Source: RNAcentral